Long non-coding RNA from Spea bombifrons (plains spadefoot toad), 494 nucleotides. RefSeq lists it as uncharacterized. The record is from RefSeq and is a predicted model, not a curated record. NCBI's taxonomy places the organism in Eukaryota, Metazoa, Chordata, Amphibia, Anura, Pelobatidae. The transcript is spliced from 4 exons.
AGUGAGGUCGCGUCAUCACUAUGGUCGUCUGUCGGCGCCUGCCAUGUGCGAGCGUUCGGUCGGUAUGUUCAGGAAGCAGCAGGCGAUUAGUACGAGUUGUAAGUACUUCUAUGGGCAUCCUGGCUGAACUGGUUACCAUGCAGGCUACUCCAGCACAAAACAGGAAUUGGGGACUAAAGUUAGUAGUAAGCUGAUGGCCCACUGACUUUAAAAGAAAAUGGACAAAGCAUCUAGUGAAGUUCUCCUGGAAGACAUUGCAGAAGAUACAAUGUGUUUAUGUACAGAUUUUUAGUAUCCUCAGGCAAUCUGGCAGAAGUUAAAAGAAUUUUACUACAUCUCCACUAGGGAUUGCUUCACUGACUACCUGGUUGUGAUAUCUGCAUCUAUUGAUAUAAAAGCUGCAUUUAUGUAACUAUUGGAAAUCAGUCCCGAAACAUUAAAAAAAUUCUUGUUUCACCUCACCACCUGCACAACAUGAAACUAUUCCCUCAGAA